Molecule: unclassified non-coding RNA, 2098 nt
Filed under: Centruroides sculpturatus (bark scorpion)
Lineage: Eukaryota; Metazoa; Arthropoda; Arachnida; Scorpiones; Buthidae
Description: uncharacterized LOC111627921, transcript variant X1
Source: RNAcentral
AAAAGAAUGAUAAUUAAAAAUGAUGUGAUCGAAAUCUUUUUUGAAAAUGUUCAAAAGUGUAACGAGCCGGGUGAAGAACCAAUUCAAAAGGUACUUAAUGGAACUCACGCCGUGCUAGCAUCAAGACAGAAAAUUAAAUUAAGCAUGAACGAAAGGGAAAAAGAGAACGUCUUCAUCUCAGAAGAUAUACUUUUUACGAAAUUCCAGUUUAUACAAAUGAAUUUAGCCAAAGUAAAUUAUGCUGUUAAUGUAGCUAAAACAUAUUAACAAAGAUUCUGAGUGAAGUGUUAAUGAAGUUAAGGAUACAUCCUGAAUGUUAAUAAAGAUAUUCUCAGAAAUUGUAAAUUCGUUAGAACUAUAAUGUCGAUCAAGAAGACUUUUUCUGUUUCCUAACGGACGUAGACCUGAUGAAUUGAUGCUCGUAACAACAGUUAAAACAUUUCUGAGAGAUGCAUGUCCCCUAUUAACAUCAGGCACCAUAACUAAAACAUUCGAACCAAUUUUAACCGAAGAAAAUUUUGAGUUAGAUAGUAAAAUCAUUUUAUAUGCCUGUUUCUCUAGUCCGGAUUUAAGCUCUUCUCCAGCAAUGAUUCUGUUUUUUCUUAACCAUAGCUUACAAGUAACGUUUGAAGGAAAUCCCUCAUUCAAGUUGCUUUCCCCAGAGAUAACGUGAGCAUAUUCUUGAAACUAAACAUGAACGCCUUACGGUCUUCCUUAAUAAUUACCAUAAUGCGCAGUGAUCAAAUUUCAUAUAAGCUACGCGGUUUUAUGAAUUAGCCAAAACGCUUUGUGGUUCGUUUUUUUCGCUCAAUAAACGUGUUUGCUCUUUGACCCUAACAUAUGUAAUAGAUCAAAACACCACACAGUUUCACAUCUAUUCGCUAACAUAAGAAUUUAUUUUUGCUUUUUAUUGGCGAUUGUUCAAGUGUCGGACAUCUAGAUUAAGGUAGAUUUUGAAUAAUUUAACUAAUAUCGCUCUAAUAUAUAAGUCUAGUAACUUUCUCAACAUGUACAGAACUUUCAUAGUAUAUAUUUAUAUUUAACAGGGUAAAUCGUAUUGAACAAAGUGGAUUAUCUGAAAAAAUCCAUAGAGAUAUGCGUGAUGAAAAAACAAGAAGCGACCUCUUCUACAAUGAUCAUACAAUUGAUACUAGUAAUGAAGAACCUCUGGAAAUGGAUGAUAUUAUGGGUCUACUCUAUUUAUUAGUUACAGGAUAUUUGAUCUCUUCUGUAGUAUUUCUUACAGAAAUUCUAGUAAACAAGAUAAAAAAAAAACUUGAAAGGAAAACUGCAGAAUGAGGCCUUUCGAUAUUGUUAAUUAAUAUUUUAUCACAUUUGAAAACAUAGGUAAUAACUUAUGUAAUAAGUCUGUAUUUGUAAGAGAAGUUGCUUGUGUUCAUUAGUUCAUUUAUUAUAACAUACCUUUCUGAACAACACGUUUAUAAAUUGUGAUAAAUUAGAGUUUCAGCAAUUGACACUUAAGUGUUUUAUUUGUUUGUAUGUAAAUUAAUAAUCGAAAGCAAUAAAAGUUACAGCCGAAUGCAAAUGUUAAAUUGUUAAUAAAAUCCAUAUAAAAUAUACAAGUAUACAAAAGAACAUUGUUUCAAAGUAAACAUUCGAAAAUAAUUCAAAUUAAUUUAUGGUACAAGACGUGUUAUAUUACUGUUAUGAUAAGCACGGUGUCCAGAUUUCGUUUGCUCAAUGUUCACAUUACAGUGACUUCACUUGAUUUCUGCUUGACAAAAAAUGCACGUGGUAGUGCAUAAUUCCUUUAUCAUGCUGAUGUUUACUAUGGGUAUGGUUUCUCCAAUUUGCAUUUCUAAUUCGGGCGUGUAACGUAAAAGAUGCGGCAUAAAAUCUCUUUUGUUAAUAUAAUUACAUCAGUUUAAAUGCGGUUAAAUUAGUUAGCGAGGCCACAUCAUGAAACCAUUAUAGUCAUAUAGCCCGUUGUGUAUCAUGUGAUUACGGUUUUUGAACUGUGUUUUUCAAUCUUUUAGAUGAAUUACCUUAUUAACCAUUUUGAAAAAGCUCUUCUGCAUUUAUUUUAAACAAAGCACAUACAUGUAAUUUCUUUAAAUAUACUUAUCAGAAAUCUAAA